ACUGGGGGUGGGGGCUCCCUCAGCCUGGAUUGUGAGAAGGCACAGGCCAGGCUAAAGGACCACACUGGUGCACG
This 74-nucleotide microRNA precursor is filed under the name Myotis brandtii (Brandt's bat). RNAcentral's name for it is "mir-9193 microRNA precursor family". It matches the Rfam family "mir-9193 microRNA precursor family". The record is from Rfam by way of RNAcentral. Lineage: Eukaryota; Metazoa; Chordata; Mammalia; Chiroptera; Vespertilionidae.